GACUGCAAGGCACCCAGAGGGCUCUCCCUCCCCACUCAGAACAGGGGGACACCCAUCAAGCCAUGAUGAAUGUGGAUUCCUGCCACUGCUUGAGGGGUUGUGACUACCACAUACUGACCGUGAGGUGACUCCAACCAGUGGCAAAGACUGGGGCAAAGACCUCUGCCAGCAGAGACUAUCAGAACUACCAGCUGAGAAUGAGUGGCAGCCAAGCAGUGAGAGGCAUUAAUGAAUCCCUAAACACAUGGGAGAAGCCAGGUGCUAAAGAGUUUCUUCCAAUUACACUGCAUUGAGCCAGGGAAAGGGACUAUGUGUCUCACUCUGUCGACCAGGCUGCAGUACAGUGGCACGAUCCCAGC
Piliocolobus tephrosceles (Ugandan red Colobus) is the source of this 359-nucleotide long non-coding RNA. RefSeq lists it as uncharacterized. Lineage: Eukaryota; Metazoa; Chordata; Mammalia; Primates; Cercopithecidae. The transcript has 3 exons. The record is from RefSeq and is a predicted model, not a curated record.